RNAcentral lists this long non-coding RNA (273 nucleotides) under Mytilus galloprovincialis (Mediterranean mussel). Lineage: Eukaryota; Metazoa; Mollusca; Bivalvia; Mytilida; Mytilidae. The record is from RNAcentral.
GUUUUCGUUGUCUUUUGUUAAAAAAUGAAAAAUCAGUUAUUUUAAUGAUAUAAGAAAGAUUUAUCUAUAGAUAAGUUACUAAAGCUAUAUUAAGUGCAAUAUGCAAGUGCAGAUCCAGCCAUUUUAAAAAGGGAGAAGAGGGGGUGUAACCCUUAAACUACCUUACCCCCUGUGUCCAUCAAUAAUACACACACCUCUUCACUGAUAACCUACAACCCUAAAAAUCCUCAGCAUUUAUAAAUGCAUCAACUAUUUUCAAUCCUAAACACCAAA